RNAcentral lists this long non-coding RNA (290 nucleotides) under Setaria italica (foxtail millet). RNAcentral describes it as "long non-coding RNA (SITA_LNC003535)". Lineage: Eukaryota; Viridiplantae; Streptophyta; Magnoliopsida; Poales; Poaceae. The record is from RNAcentral.
GGCAGCCGACAGAGGGGGUACAAGCUGAAAGUCGAUGUCAUAGUGCAUGCUCUUUCUCGGCUGGCGCGUCAUGCUCGCACUCACGGAGGCCGCGGAGUGCCUGGUUGACGUCAAGACUGAACCGGCAUGGUGGGAUAGAAAUAUCAACGGAAAAUUAAUCAGGUGCAGAGUUAAUAAGCUAUCAAUCAUCGGAAUAUUAUUGGUUGCCAUCGGUUGAGAGAUAUAUUAUAGAGCCGAUGAGUCUCAAAGCUAUUCAGGAAGGUGUAUACGUGGCCAACAAAAUUUGAAGC